GAUGAACGCUGGCGGCGUGCCUAAUACAUGCAAGUCGAGCGAACAGACGAGGAGCUUGCUCCUCUGACGUUAGCGGCGGACGGGUGAGUAACACGUGGAUAACCUACCUAUAAGACUGGGAUAACUUCGGGAAACCGGAGCUAAUACCGGAUAACAUAUUGAACCGCAUGGUUCAAUAGUGAAAGACGGUUUUGCUGUCACUUAUAGAUGGAUCCGCGCCGCAUUAGCUAGUUGGUAAGGUAACGGCUUACCAAGGCAACGAUGCGUAGCCGACCUGAGAGGGUGGUCGGCCACACUGGAACUGAGACACGGUCCAGACUCCUACGGGAGGCCGCCGUAGGGAAUCUUCCGCAAUGGGCGAAAGCCUGACGGAGCAACGCCGCGUGAGUGAUGAAGGUCUUCGGAUCGUAAAACUCUGUUAUUAGGGAAGAACAAAUGUGUAAGUAACUAUGCACGUCUUGACGGUACCUAAUCAGAAAGCCACGGCUAACUACGUG
This 497-nucleotide ribosomal RNA is filed under the name uncultured bacterium. RNAcentral describes it as "partial 16S ribosomal RNA". It matches the Rfam family "Bacterial small subunit ribosomal RNA", at positions 28 to 507 of the family's 1533-position model. The record is from RNAcentral.